RNAcentral lists this small nuclear RNA (301 nucleotides) under Panthera pardus (leopard). RNAcentral's name for it is "7SK RNA (ENSPPRG00000017397.1)". It matches the Rfam family "7SK RNA". Rfam says of the family: 7SK was discovered as an abundant small nuclear RNA in the mid-70s but a possible function has only recently been suggested. Lineage: Eukaryota; Metazoa; Chordata; Mammalia; Carnivora; Felidae. The record is from RNAcentral.
AGAUGUGAGGGCGAUCUGGCUGUGAUAUCUGUCCCCCCAUUGAUUUGAUCGCCAGGGUUGAUUUAGCUGACCUGGCUCGCUAAGCAGGUGUCUCCCUCUUCCCUCACCACUCCAUGUGUGCCCCUCCCAAAGCUGUGUGCUUAGUUGAAAGGGAUGAUCUUCCCUGAUAGAGGAGUACUGUUCUUUGGUCAAGGAUAUAUGAGUAGCUACAUUCCCCUGCUAGAAUCCCCAAGACACUCCCAAAGUUAUUGUGAGUUGCAUAAUAUGAUUUCAAAGAAAAGGAAACAUUUGGAAAAUGUCC